AAAGCAAAAAAAUUGACAAAAAUACUUAUAAUCAUCAAAUAUAUGCAUUGAAAGACAUGCAUUUGAAGAUGGUCUAAACCCUCAAAUUAUGUGGCUUGCUCAUGCCAAAAAAAAAGUGUAUUCGUGUUAAACAAUGAUGUCAAACAGCGGUUGCAGUAGUUAGAUAGCAUAGCAGAAUUUGAACAAAUCACUUUUAAUCCGCAAUACACUUUUUAGAACUUAUCACUUUUGAUUGGUAAUACACUUUUUAGUACAAAAUGUCCUUGAAUAGAGGCUAUACCGACACUAUAGCAAUUUAACAUAGUGGAAUUUGAACCCACCGCUGUUUUAUGUUAAACAAGGACGUCAAGUGGUGAUUGUAGUAGUUAGAUAGCGUAGCAGAAUUUGAACAAAUCACUUUUAAUCUGCAAUACAUUUUUUAGAACAAAUCACUUUUGAUCAGUAAUACACUUUUUAGUACAGAAUGUACUUGAAUAGAGGCUAUACCGACACUGUAGCGAUUUAACAUAGUGGAAUUUGAACCCACCGCUGUUUUAUGUUAAACAAGGACGUCAAGUGGCGGUUAUAGUAGUUAGAUAGCGUAGCAGAAUUUGAACAAAUCACCUUUAAUCCACAAUACACUUUUUAGAACAAAUCACUUUUGAUCCGUAAUACACUUUUUAGUACAAAAUGUACUUGAAUAGAGAAUAGAGGCUAUACGGACACUAUAGCAAUUUAACAAAGUGGAAUUUGAACCCACCGCAGUUUUAUGUUAAACAAGGACGUCAAGUAGCGGUUAUAGUAGUUAGAUAGCGUAGCAAAAUUUGAACAAAUCACUUAUGAUCUUCAAUGCAUCACUUAGUACAAAAUGCAGUUGAAAUAGAGGCUAUAUCGACACUAUAGCAAUGUAACAUAGCGGAAUUUAAACCCACCACUAUUUUAUGUUAUCUGUGCAGGCUG
RNAcentral lists this long non-coding RNA (939 nucleotides) under Medicago truncatula (barrel medic). RNAcentral describes it as "long non-coding RNA (MTRU_LNC007884)". The record is from RNAcentral. Lineage: Eukaryota; Viridiplantae; Streptophyta; Magnoliopsida; Fabales; Fabaceae.